Molecule: long non-coding RNA, 854 nt
Organism: Clarias gariepinus (North African catfish)
Lineage: Eukaryota; Metazoa; Chordata; Actinopteri; Siluriformes; Clariidae
Exons: 3
Source: RefSeq, a predicted model, not a curated record
UUGGACUUCUUUUUGGUGAUGCGACCUCUACAAAGUUGUUGGAGAAGUGGUCUACCAACCUAAAACCAAAAGUUAUUGCACAGAGCCGUGGCCUCACACAGACUUGCGAGCUCCAAGAACUCAUCCAAAAUGCUGAAGCCACUGAAGUUGAAGAAGGUUGGGAUAGCAACAUGUCUUCCAUUCUGAUCCUGGUUCACCUUUUGCCACCCUCAAGUCAAGGCCGCAAGAGACCGGGAAAGAUCUCAGCUAGACAUGCAUGUGAUCAUCUUGUGAAGUUCAUCAAGACUGGUACCAGUAUCCAAGGGCACUUGGAUAGCAUUGGAGAGAGCCUACAGCCGUAUCUACUUGCUGUUGGGCCAAAGAAAAGUAGGGUGCAUUCUUGGUUCAUUGUAAUUGACCAACAUGCUCUACCCUGUAAGGCUGCUAAUUCAUUGGCGUGUGUUGAUGAGCUUUUUAAAGCUCACUUUGUUUUUGGCACUUCAUACUGUCAGGAAUUGAUCAAUGUGUAUAGCUUUUUGCAAACUACUGUCUAUGAUAUAGAUGUUGAAACCACCAAAGUGAAUCCCAGGGUGGCUGAGUUGAGAGCUAGAGUCCUCCAGUGAGCAGAUGAUUUGUUUUAUUUGUAAAAAGGAGCAUACUAAUGCCAAUGCCCUUAUAAGGCACUUUAAGUUAGUUCAUGGCCUUUGUCCAGGGAAAAGACUCAAGUUAAAAUGUGCUCAAAGAGGUUGUUCACAUGUUUACCAUAGUUUUUCUGGAUUACGAAAGCAUCUCAGCAAGUGUGCAAGUGACCAUUCACACCUUGAUUUUAAUAAAAACUCAUCCAACGCCAACUCCAUUUCAUUAGUUGAUGUAGC